AUUGAAGCUGCUCCGUGAGACAAAGAAGGACGAAGGCUAACUACUUCCAGAAUCCCGAUUUUAAAGCAAUUUGGUGCGCCAUCCAUUUAUCACAAGUUGGCUGUUAUAAAGUUUCCAAACUGACCAAAGACCAACGAAUGACUUCUGAAGAAGGGUGGAUUUAUUAGUAGUUUAGUUAAACAAUAAUUUGCCCCGUCAGUGAUAUGGUUUGAAUGCUGCCUGAACGUUCCGAAUUUGGCAGACACGGUGAGGACAAUGCUGAGGAAAAUUGCCACAAACAAAGUCCUGGAGCAGCUUGGCCUCCGUGGAAAGUCAGGAAAAGUGGCGUUUGAGGACUUGCCCCUUUACAGAAUAAUAAAUAGGGUGUUUACAAGCAGACGACCACAGCUGAAGUGGAUUGUGAGCUUGGAGAGGUCCUGAAACUGGCCACUUUUCGAAAGGGAGGUUCAAAAUUUGAGGAGAAGAGGAGGAAUUAAGAGGGAGGACAAAAAAGGAAAAAGAAACAAGCAAAAGAACAGAGUGAGAUAAGAGG
Entelurus aequoreus (snake pipefish) is the source of this 532-nucleotide long non-coding RNA. RefSeq lists it as uncharacterized. The record is from RefSeq and is a predicted model, not a curated record. Lineage: Eukaryota; Metazoa; Chordata; Actinopteri; Syngnathiformes; Syngnathidae. The transcript is spliced from 4 exons.